This 798-nucleotide ribosomal RNA is filed under the name uncultured soil bacterium. Its description in RNAcentral is "bacterial SSU rRNA". It matches the Rfam family "Bacterial small subunit ribosomal RNA", at positions 8 to 800 of the family's 1533-position model. The record is from RNAcentral.
AGAGUUUGAUCCUGGCUCAGAGCGAACGCUGGCGGCGUGCUUAACACAUGCAAGUCGAACGCGCAGUUUUCUGUAGCAAUACAGGGAAUGGGCGCGUGGCGGACGGGUGAGUAACACGUGGGUAAUCUGCCCUCAUGUGGGGGAUAACCCGCCGAAAGGCGGGCUAAUACCGCAUAACAUUCCGGGGACUUCGGUCGCUGGAAUCAAAGGUCGCAAGACCGCAAGAGGAGGGGCCCGCGCCCGAUUAGCUUGUUGGCGAGGUAAUGGCUCACCAAGGCUAUGAUCGGUAGCCGGUCUGAGAGGAUGGCCGGCCACACUGGAACUGAGACACGGUCCAGACUCCUACGGGAGGCAGCAGUGGGGAAUCUUGCGCAAUGGGCGAAAGCCUGACGCAGCAACGCCGCGUGGGGGAUGAAGCUUCUCGGAGUGUAAACCCCUUUCGACCCGGACGAAAUCCCGCAAGGGAGUGACGGUACGGGUAUAAGAAGCCCCGGCUAACUACGUGCCAGCAGCCGCGGUAAAACGUAGGGGGCCAGCGUUGCUCGGAAUUACUGGGCGUAAAGGGUCCGUAGGCGGUGCGGCAAGUCGGAAGUGAAAUCUCAGGGCUUAACCCUGGGGCUGCUCCCGAAACUGCCGUGCUCGAGUGCGAGAGAGGCGAGUGGAAUUGCGGGUGUAGCGGUGAAAUGCGUAGAUAUCCGCAGGAACAUCCGAGGCGAAAGCGGCUCGCUGGAUCGCAACUGACGCUGAGGGACGAAAGCUAGGGGAGCAAACAGGAUUAGAUACCCUGGUAGUCCUAGC